Molecule: ribosomal RNA, 1346 nt
Filed under: uncultured bacterium
Lineage: Bacteria
Description: bacterial SSU rRNA
Rfam family: Bacterial small subunit ribosomal RNA
Source: RNAcentral
GACGAACGCUGGCGGCGUGCUUAACACAUGCAAGUCUAACGGAAAGGCCCUGCUUUUGUGGGGUGCUCGAGUGGCGAACGGGUGAGUAACACGUGAGUAACCUGCCCUUGACUUUGGGAUAACUUCAGGAAACUGGGGCUAAUACCGGAUAGGAGCUCCUGCUGCAUGGUGGGGGUUGGAAAGUUUCGGCGGUUGGGGAUGGACUCGCGGCUUAUCAGCUUGUUGGUGGGGUAGUGGCUUACCAAGGCUUUGACGGGUAGCCGGCCUGAGAGGGUGACCGGCCACAUUGGGACUGAGAUACGGCCCAGACUCCUACGGGAGGCAGCAGUGGGGAAUAUUGCACAAUGGGCGGAAGCCUGAUGCAGCAACGCCGCGUGCGGGAUGACGGCCUUCGGGUUGUAAACCGCUUUCGCCUGUGACGAAGCGUGAGUGACGGUAAUGGGUAAAGAAGCACCGGCUAACUACGUGCCAGCAGCCGCGGUGAUACGUAGGGUGCGAGCGUUGUCCGGAUUUAUUGGGCGUAAAGGGCUCGUAGGUGGUUGAUCGCGUCGGAAGUGUAAUCUUGGGGCUUAACCCUGAGCGUGCUUUCGAUACGGGUUGACUUGAGGAAGGUAGGGGAGAAUGGAAUUCCUGGUGGAGCGGUGGAAUGCGCAGAUAUCAGGAGGAACACCAGUGGCGAAGGCGGUUCUCUGGGCCUUUCCUGACGCUGAGGAGCGAAAGCGUGGGGAGCGAACAGGCUUAGAUACCCUGGUAGUCCACGCUGUAAACGGUGGGUACUAGGUGUGGGGUCCAUUCCACGGGUUCCGUGCCGUAGCUAACGCUUUAAGUACCCCGCCUGGGGAGUACGGCCGCAAGGCUAAAACUCAAAGGAAUUGACGGGGCCCCGCACAAGCGGCGGAGCAUGCGGAUUAAUUCGAUGCAACGCGUAGAACCUUACCUGGGUUUGACAUGGAUCGGGAGUGCUCAGAGAUGGGUGUGCCUCUUUUGGGGUCGGUUCACAGGUGGUGCAUGCCUGUCGUCAGCUCGUGUCGUGAGAUGUUGGGUUAAGUCCCGCAACGAGCGCAACCCUUGUUCACUGUUGCCAGCACGUUAUGGUGGGGACUCAGUGGAGACCGCCGGGGUCAACUCGGAGGAAGGUGGGGAUGACGUCAAGUCCUCAUGCCCCUUAUGUCCAGGGCUUCACGCAUGCUACAAUGGCUGGUACAGAGAGUGGCGAGCCUGUGAGGGUGAGCGAAUCUCGGAAAGCCGGUCUCAGUUCGGAUUGGGGUCUGCAACUCGACCUCAUGAAGUCGGAGUCGCUAGUAAUCGCAGAUCAGCAACGCUGCGGUGAAUACGUUCCCGGGGCU